GAAACCGUUCAGGGGUAAACCUGAGAAACCCAAAAGAUCGAAUGGGGAGAUUCAUCGUCGACAAGGCUGGCUUCCGUUGAUGCGCGAUGCCCCGAACGGGUUUAAUAUCCAUGCGUGGGCACACCGUCUUCGGCAAAUGUUCCGGCUAUGUAGUCGUGCACUUCUCCCUUAGUAGAACGUCGCGACCCGUUGCGUGUCGGUCUACGGCCCGAGUUGUUGACUGCCGUGUCGCCUUGUGCGUACUCAGCAGACUCUUGGUGACCUGACCGGCUGCGUGACGGUAUUCUUACGGUAUCGGGCCGCAACCAAUCCAUUUGAAAGAAUGUGUGUGCGUCAGGACCGCCGCAAGCCAGGUCAGAUACUUGGAUGGUACGGACGUAGCGCCGACUCCGAGCCUGAUCAGCUGUUUGCGCUGGCGUGUGUCCUUGGACUGGCCAAGCUUUGAAUUACCGGUCAGCGACGCUACUGCUUUGGGUACUCUCAGGACCCGUCUUGAAACACGGACCAAGGAGUCUAACAUGUGCGCGAGUCAUUGGGACAUGUAAGCCUAAAGGCGUAAUGAAAGUGAAGGUCGUCCUUUGCGUCGACCGAGGGAGGAUGGGUCGCGUCACGAUGCGGCCUCGCACUCCCGGGGCGUCUUGUUCGCAUUGCGAUAAGAGGCGCACCUAGAGCGUACACGUUGGGACCCGAAAGAUGGUGAACUAUGCCUGGUCAGGACGAAGUCAGGGGAAACCCUGAUGGAGGUCCGUAGCGAUUCUGACGUGCAAAUCGAUCGUCGGAACUGGGUAUAGGGGCGAAAGACUAAUCGAACCAUCUAGUAGCUGGUUCCCUCCGAAGUUUCCCUCAGGAUAGCUGGCACUCAUCCGUUCCUCUGUGAACGCGAGCGAGUUUCAUCUGGUAAAGCGAAUGAUUAGAGGCCUUGGGGCCGAAACGACCUCAACCUAUUCUCAAACUUUAAAUGGGUGAGAUCUCUGGCUUACUUGCAUCAAACACUGAAGCCACGAGACUAUAUAAAUUUGAAUCAGAGUGCCAAGUGGGCCAAUUUUGGUAAGCAGAACUGGCGCUGUGGGAUGAACCAAACGCAGAGUUAAGGCGCCUAAAUCGACGCUUAUGGGAUACCAUGAAAGGCGUUGGUUGCUUAAGACAGCAGGACGGUGGCCAUGGAAGUCGGAA
Molecule: ribosomal RNA, 1173 nt
Filed under: Nomioides facilis
Lineage: Eukaryota; Metazoa; Arthropoda; Insecta; Hymenoptera; Halictidae
Description: eukaryotic LSU rRNA
Rfam family: Eukaryotic large subunit ribosomal RNA
Source: RNAcentral